UGAGACAGGUGCUGCAUGGCUGUCGUCAGCUCGUGUUGUGAAAUGUUGGGUUAAGUCCCGCAACGAGCGCAACCCUUAUCCUUUGUUGCCAGCGGUUAGGCCGGGAACUCAAAGGAGACUGCCAGUGAUAAACUGGAGGAAGGUGGGGAUGACGUCAAGUCAUCAUGGCCCUUACGAGUAGGGCUACACACGUGCUACAAUGGCAUAUACAAAGAGAAGCGACCUCGCGAGAGCAAGCGGACCUCAUAAAGUAUGUCGUAGUCCGGAUUGGAGUCUGCAACUCGACUCCAUGAAGUCGGAAUCGCUAGUAAUCGUGGAUCAGAAUGCCACGGUGAAUACGUUCCCGGGCCUUGUACACACCGCCCGUCACACCAUGGGAGUGGGUUGCAAAAGAAGUAGGUAGCUUAACCUUCGGGAGGGCGCUUACCACUUUGUGAUUCAUGACUGGGGUGAAGUCGUAACAAGGUAACCGUAGGGGAACCUGCGGUUGGAUCACCUCCUUACCUUAAAGAA
This 513-nucleotide ribosomal RNA is filed under the name Citrobacter freundii. RNAcentral describes it as "partial 16S ribosomal RNA". It matches the Rfam family "Bacterial small subunit ribosomal RNA", at positions 1030 to 1533 of the family's 1533-position model. The record is from RNAcentral. Lineage: Bacteria; Pseudomonadati; Pseudomonadota; Gammaproteobacteria; Enterobacterales; Enterobacteriaceae. RNAcentral also lists the same sequence under 2 other names.